RNAcentral lists this ribosomal RNA (1191 nucleotides) under Escherichia coli. Its description in RNAcentral is "partial 23S ribosomal RNA". It matches the Rfam family "Bacterial large subunit ribosomal RNA", at positions 1 to 1230 of the family's 2925-position model. The record is from RNAcentral. Lineage: Bacteria; Pseudomonadati; Pseudomonadota; Gammaproteobacteria; Enterobacterales; Enterobacteriaceae.
GGUUAAGCGACUAAGCGUACACGGUGGAUGCCCUGGCAGUCAGAGGCGAUGAAGGACGUGCUAAUCUGCGAUAAGCGUCGGUAAGGUGAUAUGAACCGUUAUAACCGGCGAUUUCCGAAUGGGGAAACCCAGUGUGUUUCGACACACUAUCAUUAACUGAAUCCAUAGGUUAAUGAGGCGAACCGGGGGAACUGAAACAUCUAAGUACCCCGAGGAAAAGAAAUCAACCGAGAUUCCCCCAGUAGCGGCGAGCGAACGGGGAGCAGCCCAGAGCCUGAAUCAGUGUGUGUGUUAGUGGAAGCGUCUGGAAAGGCGCGCGAUACAGGGUGACAGCCCCGUACACAAAAAUGCACAUGCUGUGAGCUCGAUGAGUAGGGCGGGACACGUGGUAUCCUGUCUGAAUAUGGGGGGACCAUCCUCCAAGGCUAAAUACUCCUGACUGACCGAUAGUGAACCAGUACCGUGAGGGAAAGGCGAAAAGAACCCCGGCGAGGGGAGUGAAAAAGAACCUGAAACCGUGUACGUACAAGCAGUGGGAGCACAGAGCAAUCUGUGUGACUGCGUACCUUUUGUAUAAUGGGUCAGCGACUUAUAUUCUGUAGCAAGGUUAACCGAAUAGGGGAGCCGAAGGGAAACCGAGUCUUAACUGGGCGUUAAGUUGCAGGGUAUAGACCCGAAACCCGGUGAUCUAGCCAUGGGCAGGUUGAAGGUUGGGUAACACUAACUGGAGGACCGAACCGACUAAUGUUGAAAAAUUAGCGGAUGACUUGUGGCUGGGGGUGAAAGGCCAAUCAAACCGGGAGAUAGCUGGUUCUCCCCGAAAGCUAUUUAGGUAGCGCCUCGUGAAUUCAUCUCCGGGGGUAGAGCACUGUUUCGGCAAGGGGGUCAUCCCGACUUACCAACCCGAUGCAAACUGCGAAUACCGGAGAAUGUUAUCACGGGAGACACACGGCGGGUGCUAACGUCCGUCGUGAAGAGGGAAACAACCCAGACCGCCAGCUAAGGUCCCAAAGUCAUGGUUAAGUGGGAAACGAUGUGGGAAGGCCCAGACAGCCAGGAUGUUGGCUUAGAAGCAGCCAUCAUUUAAAGAAAGCGUAAUAGCUCACUGGUCGAGUCGGCCUGCGCGGAAGAUGUAACGGGGCUAAACCAUGCACCGAAGCUGCGGCAGCGACGCUUAUGCGUUGUUGGGUA